RNAcentral lists this unclassified non-coding RNA (333 nucleotides) under soil metagenome. Its description in RNAcentral is "partial contains 5.8S ribosomal RNA, internal transcribed spacer 2, and large subunit ribosomal RNA". The stretch from base 1 to 120 matches the Rfam family "5.8S ribosomal RNA", at positions 35 to 154 of the family's 154-position model. The record is from RNAcentral.
GAUGAAGAACGUAGCAAAAUGCGAUAAGUAAUGUGAAUUGCAGAAUUCAGUGAAUCAUCGAAUAUUUGAACGCUCAUUGCGUCCGCCAGUAUUCUGGCGGGCAUGCCUGUUCGAGCGUCAUUUCAACCCUCAAGCUCAGCUUGGUGUUGGGACUCGCGGUAACCCGCGUUCCCCAAAUCGAUUGGCGGUCACGUCGAGCUUCCAUAGCGUAGUAAUCAUACACCUCGUUACUGGUAAUCGUCGCGGCCACGCCGUAAAACCCCAACUUCUGAAUGUUGACCUCGGAUCAGGUAGGAAUACCCGCUGAACUUAAGCAUAUCAAUAAGCGGAGGA